UGCCAUUAUUGUAAGUUUCCUGAGGCCUCCUAACCAUGCUUCCUGUACAGACUAUGGAACUAGGCUGUUCUGCAAAGCUGCCAUUCAUAGGGAGAACUGGCGAUGAAGUGUCUGUCAAAAGGACUGUUUUUACAAUUGGGACCUGCCUGUAGUGGUGAUGAGCCAUUUGUAAGAGAGGAUCAUGGAAUGAAUACGGGCAUUGAGUCAAGCAGUCUGUGUUCCACUGGCGGUGUGACCUGGGGCAGGCCAUUUCACCUCACUGAGCCUUAGUUUCCUCACCUGUAAAAUGUGAAAAAUAUCACCUUCCUUACCAGGCUUUUCUGAGGAUUUAAUGACAUCAUGUUCAGUGCCCAGUAUGGGUGGAUAAUACCCAGGAGUUUCCUCCUCUUCUCCUCCUAAGUUGACUUGAUGCCCCCCGCUGAAGAUCAUGGCUGAACUGGCUCAAUUCGGAUCCAGGACUCCUGGCUUUGUCUCUUCCCUAGUUGCCCACCACACCCAUGGACACCCUUAGGUAGUUUAUCCUUUUGGGACAACUGGAUUUAUUAGAAAAGGGUAUUCUGGGGUGGAAUAAGGCCCUUUUCAGUCCCCAUGGAGCCUUUUUGGAAGAUGAAGUUCUCAAACCCACAAGAGAAUUCAUAAGACGAGCACACCACCCACAGUUAGGUUUCCCUCUCAAGUGCUUUAUCUCCACGUGGGGCAAAUAGCUCUUUGUCUGCAUAUGUUAUUGGAGCUUUUGGAGUCCAGCCUUCAGAAGAGCUCUAAUUUUUGGAUUCAUAUCAGUUUAUUAGAGAAGCCUAGUUCUAAGGAUUAGCAAAUGGGUAGGUGCUCAGCCAGCCCAGAACAAGCAGAGCCAUGACAGAAGUUUCUGGAAUCUCACAGAGUCGGUGUCUUCAUGGACUCAGGGGGCCUAAAUCCAAUAGCCUGGAUUUGUCACUUUCCCUUAUUCCCUUAUCAAACUCUUCCCUUUUGGACAUCAGAGAAGGAAAGUACUUCCUGUAAGGGGGCAAUUUGCAAAGCUUCAUGGAAGUGGCAUUUGAGUGUGGCCUUAAAGGAUGUGUAGGAUUGGGAACCAUAGAUAUUUAGAGGAAGGCAUUCCUGGCAGAAGGAACAGCAGCAAAACACAGAAGUGGAAAUUAGUAGCAGCAUUAAUGGAGAAUAAUUUGGGGAAUAAGAUAUACAAAUGGAAUAAUAAAAAUAGCAUUAAUUAAA
RNAcentral lists this long non-coding RNA (1209 nucleotides) under Homo sapiens (human). Its description in RNAcentral is "STAT1 regulated ILF2 complex interacting lncRNA". The record is from RNAcentral. Lineage: Eukaryota; Metazoa; Chordata; Mammalia; Primates; Hominidae.